This 253-nucleotide ribosomal RNA is filed under the name uncultured bacterium. RNAcentral's name for it is "partial 16S ribosomal RNA". It matches the Rfam family "Bacterial small subunit ribosomal RNA", at positions 524 to 776 of the family's 1533-position model. The record is from RNAcentral.
UACGUAGGGAGCAAGCGUUGUUCGGAUUUAUUGGGCGUAAAGGGCGUGUAGGCGGCGCGGUAAGUCACUUGUGAAAUCUCUGAGCUUAACUCAGAACGGCCAAGUGAUACUGCAGUGCUAGAGUGCAGAAGGGGCAAUCGGAAUUCUUGGUGUAGCGGUGAAAUGCGUAGAUAUCAGGAGGAACACCUACGGCGAAGGCAGGUUGCUGGGCUGACACUGACGCUGAAGCGCGAAAGCGAGGGGAGCGAACGGG